AACCUGCGGGUGCUAUAAUGCAAGUCGAGCGAAUGGAUUGAGAGCUUGCUCUCAAGAAGUUAGCGGCGGACGGGUGAGUAACACGUGGGUAACCUGCCCAUAAGACUGGGAUAACUCCGGGAAACCGGGGCUAAUACCGGAUAACAUUUUGAACUGCAUGGUUCGAAAUUGAAAGGCGGCUUCGGCUGUCACUUAUGGAUGGACCCGCGUCGCAUUAGCUAGUUGGUGAGGUAACGGCUCACCAAGGCAACGAUGCGUAGCCGACCUGAGAGGGUGAUCGGCCACACUGGGACUGAGACACGGCCCAGACUCCUACGGGAGGCAGCAGUAGGGAAUCUUCCGCAAUGGACGAAAGUCUGACGGAGCAACGCCGCGUGAGUGAUGAAGGCUUUCGGGUCGUAAAACUCUGUUGUUAGGGAAGAACAAGUGCUAGUUGAAUAAGCUGGCACCUUGACGGUACCUAACCAGAAAGCCACGGCUAACUACGUGCCAGCAGCCGCGGUAAUACGUAGGUGGCAAGCGUUAUCCGGAAUUAUUGGGCGUAAAGCGCGCGCAGGUGGUUUCUUAAGUCUGAUGUGAAAGCCCACGGCUCAACCGUGGAGGGUCAUUGGAAACUGGGAGACUUGAGUGCAGAAGAGGAAAGUGGAAUUCCAUGUGUAGCGGUGAAAUGCGUAGAGAUAUGGAGGAACACCAGUGGCGAAGGCGACUUUCUGGUCUGUAACUGACACUGAGGCGCGAAAGCGUGUGGAGCAAACAGGAUUACAUACCCUGGUAGUCCACGCCGUAAACGAUGAGUGCUAAGUGUUAGAGGGUUUCCGCCCUUUAGUGCUGAAGUUAACGCAUUAAGCACUCCGCCUGGGGAGUACGGCCGCAAGGCUGAAACUCAAGGAAUUGACGGGGGCCCGCACAAGCGGUGGAGCAUGUGGUUUAAUUCAAGCACGCGAAGAACCUUACCAUGUCUUGACAUCCUCUGAAACCCUACAGAUAGGGCUUCUCCUUCGGAGCAGAUGACAGGUGCUGCAUGUUGUCGUCAGCUCGUGUCGUGACACGUGGGUUAAGUCCCGCUACGAGCGCAACCCUUGAUCU
Molecule: ribosomal RNA, 1086 nt
Filed under: Bacillus thuringiensis
Lineage: Bacteria; Bacillati; Bacillota; Bacilli; Caryophanales; Bacillaceae
Description: bacterial SSU rRNA
Rfam family: Bacterial small subunit ribosomal RNA
Source: RNAcentral